UCAACUGGCACCUUCUUGCCGUCACCCACAUAGAUGUAUCUUUCACCAUCAUUUGAUUUUCAUUAGUAAUUUCAGGAUCCUGAUUGGAGAGAUUUUCGAGCCAUCAGGCAACCCUGCAUAGAUAUACUUAUGUGAGUAAUAGCAGCUGAAUCUACCCACCAAGUAUCCUUAGGUACCGAAAUUAAAUUAACUUCAGAACAAACAAGAGAAAGAAAUGUACCUUUUUUCGCACGCCAAGCGUNNN
Molecule: long non-coding RNA, 244 nt
Filed under: Nicotiana benthamiana
Lineage: Eukaryota; Viridiplantae; Streptophyta; Magnoliopsida; Solanales; Solanaceae
Description: long non-coding RNA (NBEN_LNC004023)
Source: RNAcentral